UACGUAGGGGGCAAGCGUUGUCCGGAAUCAUUGGGCGUAAAGAGCGUGUAGGCGGCCCGGUAAGUCCGCUGUGAAAGUCCAGGGCUCAACCCUGGGAUGCCGGUUGAUACUGUCGGGCUCGAGUACGGAAGAGGAGUGUGGAAUUCCCGGUGUAGCGGUGAAAUGCGCAGAUAUCAGGAGGAACACCAAUGGCGAAGGCAGCACUCUGGGACGUGACUGACGCUGGGACGCGAAAGCGUGGGGAGCAAACAGG
This 253-nucleotide ribosomal RNA is filed under the name uncultured bacterium. Its description in RNAcentral is "partial 16S ribosomal RNA". It matches the Rfam family "Bacterial small subunit ribosomal RNA", at positions 524 to 776 of the family's 1533-position model. The record is from RNAcentral.